This is a long non-coding RNA of Musa acuminata AAA Group (dessert banana), 2520 nucleotides long. RefSeq lists it as uncharacterized. The record is from RefSeq and is a predicted model, not a curated record. The transcript is spliced from 2 exons. Lineage: Eukaryota; Viridiplantae; Streptophyta; Magnoliopsida; Zingiberales; Musaceae.
UUCAAGAUAAUAAAUUUUCAAGUUUAAUUCUAUUAAAUUUUAGGAAACUGAUUCAUAUCUUGAUAUAAUUAUAAAAAAUUAAAAUUAUCAAAAUAUAAUGCAUAUAAUAUGUAUUAUAAUUUGUAUUUGACUUUUAAUAGAUUGUGACUUAUUUGAUUCAUUGUACGAGAGAUCUUCUACAAAGGGGAAGGAAGAAAAAUUGAUGUGGCAUUCUUAUUUUUAAAAUCAUAUCAAGUUUUUUUUUUUUAUCUUUUUUGAAUUAUUAGUUUUUUAGUCAUCUUUGGAAGAAAGAAUUCUCUUUUGUUCUCCCAUAUCUUACUUUUAAGCAUCUCAUCAUCGUAGAUCUAAAAUCAGUAAAAGGGUGAGAAAGAGGAAGAACAGAUUCCUGAGUGGGUUUGACUUAUACGUAUACUUUUCCUCGAAUAUUGUUUUUAGAAGUGGAUUUCUCGACCACUUUGAUUUCUUGUUCGUUUGUGAUGGAUUUGCCUGGCUUUCGGUUCUAGAAGAUUCCAAUUUCGAUUUUAAAUUAAAAUCUUUUUUUAUAUUAAUGUUUAAAUUUUCAUCAAAGCUUAUACAGUUAUAUAUACCUAAUGACAUAAAUUAAGUAAUCCCCCCCCCCCCCCCCCCAAUGGCCGUCAAAUGUUCUGAUUAUUCCUCUCGUCAGUAGAUCAAAUAUUUUUUUUUUAUAUAUAUCUUCCACUCAACUUUUAGUUCAAUCAUCAAAAUCUACCUUCAACUCAACUUUAGUUGAAUCAUCAAUACAUGGCUCCCAAUUAAUUCAGGGGUCAUACCGAUUUCAUAGUUUCUAAAUUUUAUUUUAGAUUAGUUAAUAAAAUUGACAAUGUUAUUAAAUGUAUCUGCUACUUUACAGAAACUGGUUGUGUAAUGAUUCUGUUGCCAGCAUCCUAACCAUGAUUUCAAAUGCCUUAAUUCACAUUCUACUACAAUUAAGCAGCUGGUCUCAGAUCCUGGAAACAAUUCCUCUGCCAAAUGUAAGUGGAAACACGUUCUCCUUAAUUAGUAUCUUUUAUCUCUUAUUUCCUAAUCUGUCCUAUGGAAAGCAGAGUUGAUCAUAACUUGUUUAUUAAUCAUUUGGCUGUUGGAUAGGCAUCCAUUUGUGCUAUUGCAGGUCAAGUGGAUAUUAUUGGUGGAUUUCCCUGCACAGCAUGUAACCAUCUGUCUUAGUCAUAAAGAACAUACAGAUAAUAUAACAUGGAUUCUCUCUCUCUCUCUCUCUCUCCACAUCUUGGCUGAACCUUGUGUAUCUAUAUCCUUGUCUAUAUUGUUUCUCAUAGGGUUUGAUGUUGGAGACCUCUCAGAUGAUGGUCCUGUGUUUUGAUGGAAUGGAUGCUUUCAGCAGCACACACUGCAAAAAACCUUUUGUCAGCCGAGCCAGCUGAUGGUAUCUUCUUGUUGUUGUAUGGGUCAUAUACUUGUAUUGAUUUCCAGUACUAGUUUCUCUUUCCAUUCAACUUUGAGAGCUUUAAACACCAAAAAAACCUUUAACUCUAUUGCCAAUGAGAAUUUAAACACACACACAUAUUUGUGAACAGAUAGUAAACUCAUAUGAUAGAAUGCUGGACAUGAUGCUUAAUCUUUGUUUGGUUACUUCGAUUGUCACUCAAAAACUUGGCAUUGGUGGGUUCAGUAUGGGUGCUGCAACUGCAUUGUACCCUGCCACUUGCUUCACACAUGGAAAAUACGAAAAUGGCAGUCUAUAGACUCUAUACCCCAUAAACUUCAGUGCAGUCAUUGGCCUCAGUGGCUGGCUUCCAUGCUCAAGGUCUGUUCUAUCUUAAAAUGUCCAAUGUUUGAUCUAUGAAAAUAUCACAUCUAUCGAAUUCUCGGCAUGUGAAUAAAAAAUGCAAGAAAAUAUGCAUGUUCCACUCACCCAGGAGCUUGAACACUAAGGUGGAAAGCUCACAUGAUGCUGCAAGGUGAGCUGCCUCCUUGCCAGUUCCAUUGUGUCAUGGAAGAGGUACCUUCUCUGUCACAGAAGAACAUGAUUAGAUAACUUCGAUAUGCAGUUAUCUUGCAAUAAAUGUGGAGAAGAAUUGAUAAGCCAAAAGAUGUGAACGUUACUGUUUGAUUCGUUUUGCCAUACCAACAGGAGCUCAGAAUCCUGAUUUGGAUGCACACAAUUUACCAUGAGUUUGUUUCAGGUGAUGGAGUGGUUCCGUAUAAACACGGGAAAAUUCUGGAGAGGUUCUAAGAGUGUUUGGGUUCAGAAAUCUCACGUUCAAGACCUUUUACAAUGGACUCGAACACUGCACAAUACCAGAAGAAAUGGAUACUGUCUGCAAGUGGCUCACAGCAAGGCUGCAGCUUGAUGGGUCUCACAGAAAGUAUAUCCAAUUAGUGCAUUAAAUAUGUAGAAUUUGUAUGUAUAUAAAUGUAUUCGGGAGUAUGUCAUUCUGAUACUAUUGCUUGAGUGGUCUAAUAGCUUGAUAGAUAUGCUGCAUCCUACACUGUCUUCCCAGUUCUUGUCCAUAAAUCCAGCCAGAAUUCAUUUGCUCUUCA